RNAcentral lists this ribosomal RNA (480 nucleotides) under uncultured bacterium. RNAcentral's name for it is "partial 16S ribosomal RNA". It matches the Rfam family "Bacterial small subunit ribosomal RNA", at positions 30 to 507 of the family's 1533-position model. The record is from RNAcentral.
AUUGAACGCUGGCGGCAUGCUUUACACAUGCAAGUCGAACGGUAACAGGCCGCAAGGUGCUGACGAGUGGCGAACGGGUGAGUAAUGCAUCGGAACGUGCCCAGUCGUGGGGGAUAACUACUCGAAAGAGUAGCUAAUACCGCAUACGAUCUAUGGAUGAAAGCGGGGGACCGUAAGGCCUCGCGCGAUUGGAGCGGCCGAUGUCAGAUUAGGUAGUUGGUGGGGUAAAGGCUCACCAAGCCAACGAUCUGUAGCUGGUCUGAGAGGACGACCAGCCACUGGGACUGAGACACGGCCCAGACUCCUACGGGAGGCAGCAGUGGGGAAUUUUGGACAAUGGGCGCAAGCCUGAUCCAGCAAUGCCGCGUGCAGGAAGAAGGCCUUCGGGUUGUAAACUGCUUUUGUACGGAACGAAACGGCUCUGGUUAAUACCCGGGGCUAAUGACGGUACCGUAAGAAUAAGCACCGGCUAACUACGUG